This 199-nucleotide long non-coding RNA is filed under the name Capsella rubella. Its description in RNAcentral is "long non-coding RNA (CRUB_LNC003930)". Lineage: Eukaryota; Viridiplantae; Streptophyta; Magnoliopsida; Brassicales; Brassicaceae. The record is from RNAcentral.
AUUGGUUCUCCCGCUCUCAUCCCCCUAGCGGUUGCUAGCGGGCGAUUGCGUUUGCUAGUGUUUGGUACCAAUCAUACAAAACGCUCCACACCGCUUGGGAUCGCUCGAAAUCGCUGGAUUUCAAAAGCUCCUUUCGGCAAGCGUUUGCGGUUGCGGGCGAUUGCGAUUGAUUUAAAAAAGGAAAGAAACUGAAAAAGAA